UGGUGGGUAGUUUGACUGGGGCGGUCUCCUCCCAAAGUGUAACGGAGGAGCACGAAGGUCAGCUAAUCCUGGUCGGACAUCAGGAGGUUAGUGCAAUGGCAUAAGCUGGCUUGACUGCGAGAGUGACGGCUCGAGCAGGUGCGAAAGCAGGUCAUAGUGAUCCGGUGGUUCUGUAUGGAAGGGCCAUCGCUCAACGGAUAAAAGGUACUCCGGGGAUAACAGGCUGAUACCGCCCAAGAGUUCAUAUCGACGGCGGUGUUUGGCACCUCGAUGUCGGCUCAUCACAUCCUGGGGCUGAAGUAGGUCCCAAGGGUAUGGCUGUUCGCCAUUUAAAGUGGUACGCGAGCUGGGUUUAGAACGUCGUGAGACAGUUCGGUCCCUAUCUGCCGUGGGCGCUGGAGAAUUGAGGGGGGCUGCUCCCAGUACGAGAGGACCGGAGUGGACGCAUCACUGGUGUUCGGGUUGUCAUGCCAAUGGCACUGCCCGGUAGCUAAAUGCGGAAGAGAUAAGUGCUGAAAGCAUCUAAGCACGAAACUUGCCCCGAGAUGAGUUCUCCCUGAGACUAUAAGUCUCCUGAAGGAACGUUGAAGACGACGACGUUGAUAGGCCGGGUGUGUAAGCGCAGCGAUGCGUUGAGCUAACCGGUACUAAUGAACCGUGAGGCUUAACCUU
This 672-nucleotide ribosomal RNA is filed under the name Cronobacter sakazakii. Its description in RNAcentral is "partial 23S ribosomal RNA". It matches the Rfam family "Bacterial large subunit ribosomal RNA", at positions 2259 to 2925 of the family's 2925-position model. RNAcentral also lists the same sequence under 2 other names. The record is from RNAcentral. Lineage: Bacteria; Pseudomonadati; Pseudomonadota; Gammaproteobacteria; Enterobacterales; Enterobacteriaceae.